This 693-nucleotide ribosomal RNA is filed under the name Paenarthrobacter ureafaciens. Its description in RNAcentral is "bacterial SSU rRNA". It matches the Rfam family "Bacterial small subunit ribosomal RNA", at positions 755 to 1445 of the family's 1533-position model. Lineage: Bacteria; Bacillati; Actinomycetota; Actinomycetes; Micrococcales; Micrococcaceae. The record is from RNAcentral.
GAAAGCAUGGGGAGCGAACAGGAUUAGAUACCCUGGUAGUCCAUGCCGUAAACGUUGGGCACUAGGUGUGGGGGACAUUCCACGUUUUCCGCGCCGUAGCUAACGCAUUAAGUGCCCCGCCUGGGGAGUACGGCCGCAAGGCUAAAACUCAAAGGAAUUGACGGGGGCCCGCACAAGCGGCGGAGCAUGCGGAUUAAUUUGAUGCAACGCGAAGAACCUUACCAAGGCUUGACAUGGACCGGAAAGACCUGGAAACAGGUGCCCCGCUUGCGGCCGGUUUACAGGUGGUGCAUGGUUGUCGUCAGCUCGUGUCGUGAGAUGUUGGGUUAAGUCCCGCAACGAGCGCAACCCUCGUUCUAUGUUGCCAGCGGUUCGGCCGGGGACUCAUAGGAGACUGCCGGGGUCAACUCGGAGGAAGGUGGGGACGACGUCAAAUCAUCAUGCCCCUUAUGUCUUGGGCUUCACGCAUGCUACAAUGGCCGGUACAAAGGGUUGCGAUACUGUGAGGUGGAGCUAAUCCCAAAAAGCCGGUCUCAGUUCGGAUUGGGGUCUGCAACUCGACCCCAUGAAGUCGGAGUCGCUAGUAAUCGCAGAUCAGCAACGCUGCGGUGAAUACGUUCCCGGGCCUUGUACACACCGCCCGUCAAGUCACGAAAGUUGGUAACACCCGAAGCCGGUGGCCUAACCCUUGUG